CCAGACUCCUACGGGAGGCAGCAGUGGGGAAUAUUGCACAAUGGGGGAAACCCUGAUGCAGCGACGCCGCGCGAGCGAUGAAGUAUUUCGGUAUGUAAAGCUCUAUCAGCAGGGAAGAAAAUGACGGUACCUGACUAAGAAGCCCCGGCUAACUACGUGCCAGCAGCCGCGGUAAUACGUAGGGGGCAAGCGUUAUCCGGAUUUACUGGGUGUAAAGGGAGCGUAGACGGCGGCGCAAGCCAGAUGUGAAAGCCCGGGGCUCAACCCCGGGACUGCUCUUGGAACUGCGCGGCUGGAGUGCAGGAGGGGCAGGCGGAAUUCCUAGUGUAGCGGUGAAAUGCGUAGAUAUUAGGAGGAACACCAGUGGCGAAGGCGGCCUGCUGGACGAUGACUGACGUUGAGGCUCGAAAGCGUGGGGAGCAAACAGGAUUAGAUACCCGCGUA
Molecule: ribosomal RNA, 444 nt
Filed under: uncultured bacterium
Lineage: Bacteria
Description: partial 16S ribosomal RNA
Rfam family: Bacterial small subunit ribosomal RNA
Source: RNAcentral